RNAcentral lists this ribosomal RNA (1536 nucleotides) under Klebsiella variicola. RNAcentral describes it as "bacterial SSU rRNA". It matches the Rfam family "Bacterial small subunit ribosomal RNA". The record is from RNAcentral. Lineage: Bacteria; Pseudomonadati; Pseudomonadota; Gammaproteobacteria; Enterobacterales; Enterobacteriaceae.
UUGAAGAGUUUGAUCAUGGCUCAGAUUGAACGCUGGCGGCAGGCCUAACACAUGCAAGUCGAGCGGUAGCACAGAGAGCUUGCUCUCGGGUGACGAGCGGCGGACGGGUGAGUAAUGUCUGGGAAACUGCCUGAUGGAGGGGGAUAACUACUGGAAACGGUAGCUAAUACCGCAUAACGUCGCAAGACCAAAGUGGGGGACCUUCGGGCCUCAUGCCAUCAGAUGUGCCCAGAUGGGAUUAGCUAGUAGGUGGGGUAACGGCUCACCUAGGCGACGAUCCCUAGCUGGUCUGAGAGGAUGACCAGCCACACUGGAACUGAGACACGGUCCAGACUCCUACGGGAGGCAGCAGUGGGGAAUAUUGCACAAUGGGCGCAAGCCUGAUGCAGCCAUGCCGCGUGUGUGAAGAAGGCCUUCGGGUUGUAAAGCACUUUCAGCGGGGAGGAAGGCGGUGAGGUUAAUAACCUCAUCGAUUGACGUUACCCGCAGAAGAAGCACCGGCUAACUCCGUGCCAGCAGCCGCGGUAAUACGGAGGGUGCAAGCGUUAAUCGGAAUUACUGGGCGUAAAGCGCACGCAGGCGGUCUGUCAAGUCGGAUGUGAAAUCCCCGGGCUCAACCUGGGAACUGCAUUCGAAACUGGCAGGCUAGAGUCUUGUAGAGGGGGGUAGAAUUCCAGGUGUAGCGGUGAAAUGCGUAGAGAUCUGGAGGAAUACCGGUGGCGAAGGCGGCCCCCUGGACAAAGACUGACGCUCAGGUGCGAAAGCGUGGGGAGCAAACAGGAUUAGAUACCCUGGUAGUCCACGCUGUAAACGAUGUCGAUUUGGAGGUUGUGCCCUUGAGGCGUGGCUUCCGGAGCUAACGCGUUAAAUCGACCGCCUGGGGAGUACGGCCGCAAGGUUAAAACUCAAAUGAAUUGACGGGGGCCCGCACAAGCGGUGGAGCAUGUGGUUUAAUUCGAUGCAACGCGAAGAACCUUACCUGGUCUUGACAUCCACAGAACUUAGCAGAGAUGCUUUGGUGCCUUCGGGAACUGUGAGACAGGUGCUGCAUGGCUGUCGUCAGCUCGUGUUGUGAAAUGUUGGGUUAAGUCCCGCAACGAGCGCAACCCUUAUCCUUUGUUGCCAGCGGUUAGGCCGGGAACUCAAAGGAGACUGCCAGUGAUAAACUGGAGGAAGGUGGGGAUGACGUCAAGUCAUCAUGGCCCUUACGACCAGGGCUACACACGUGCUACAAUGGCAUAUACAAAGAGAAGCGACCUCGCGAGAGCAAGCGGACCUCAUAAAGUAUGUCGUAGUCCGGAUUGGAGUCUGCAACUCGACUCCAUGAAGUCGGAAUCGCUAGUAAUCGUAGAUCAGAAUGCUACGGUGAAUACGUUCCCGGGCCUUGUACACACCGCCCGUCACACCAUGGGAGUGGGUUGCAAAAGAAGUAGGUAGCUUAACCUUCGGGAGGGCGCUUACCACUUUGUGAUUCAUGACUGGGGUGAAGUCGUAACAAGGUAACCGUAGGGGAACCUGCGGUUGGAUCACCUCCUU